ACGCUCGACACCGGGAGCAGCAGUGGGGAAUAUUGCACAAUGGGGAAACCCUGAUGCAGCGACGCCGCGUGAGCGAAGAAGUAUUUCGGUAUGUAAAGCUCUAUCAGCAGGGAAGAAACUGACGGUACCUGACUAAGAAGCACCGGCUAAAUACGUGCCAGCAGUCGCGGUAAUCUGAGCGGGCUGGCAAGGC
This 193-nucleotide ribosomal RNA is filed under the name uncultured bacterium. Its description in RNAcentral is "partial 16S ribosomal RNA". It matches the Rfam family "Bacterial small subunit ribosomal RNA", at positions 326 to 539 of the family's 1533-position model. The record is from RNAcentral.